Cebus imitator (Panamanian white-faced capuchin) is the source of this 104-nucleotide small nuclear RNA. The record is from Ensembl. Lineage: Eukaryota; Metazoa; Chordata; Mammalia; Primates; Cebidae.
GUGCUCGCUUUGGCAGCACAUAUACUAAAGUAGGAAGGAUACAGAGAUUAGCAUGGCCUCUACACAAGGAUGACAUGCAAAUCCAUGAAGUGUUCCAUAUUUUU